UAUGAAGGUUUUCAUAACUAUGGUGGCUACAACAAUUAUGGCUAUGGAAAUAAUGGCUUCGAUGACAGAAUGAUAGAAGAGGUAUGAGAGGACAUGGCUAUGGCAGAGCUAAUGAUGCAAGUUCAGGUUUUCAUGGUGGUCAUUUCUUUUGUAUAUUAGAGGGUUGCCUUUUUAUGCAACUGAAAAUAACAUUGCUAAUUUCUUCUCACCACUAAAUCCAGUAUGAAUUCAUAUUGAUAUUGAAGCUAAUGGCGGAGCAACAGAAGUAGAUAUAGAGUUUGCGACAUAUAAAGAUGCGGUAGUUGCCGUGUCUAAACAUGAAAAAAAAAAUGCAGCAUUGAUAAAUUAAACUAUUUUGAAUUCUGCUCUGGAAUGAGAGGUUCUGGAAUGGGAGGCCACAGCAGAGAUGGAAUGAAUAAUCAAAGAGGUUAUGGCUCUGUUGUAAAAAUGAAAAUGGGGAACAGUUACAUGGAAAAUAUGGUGCUGCUGAUGGCUUGGGUGUUUAUGGCCAUGGUGGUGGAGGCAGUGGAGGUUACUAUAGGCAAGGCAGCAUGAAUGGAGGUAAAUGGUGUGGAAUGUACUG
RNAcentral lists this long non-coding RNA (583 nucleotides) under Homo sapiens (human). RNAcentral describes it as "non-protein coding lnc-FAM46D-2:1". Lineage: Eukaryota; Metazoa; Chordata; Mammalia; Primates; Hominidae. The record is from RNAcentral.